Non-coding RNA from Kogia breviceps (pygmy sperm whale), 351 nucleotides. NCBI's taxonomy places the organism in Eukaryota, Metazoa, Chordata, Mammalia, Artiodactyla, Physeteridae. The record is from RefSeq and is a predicted model, not a curated record.
CCCCAGCCCGGGAGAAGAAAGCUGAUGUUUCCCCCAUUACCGGGGGGCAUCUUAGGCUCCUAGCAAAGACUCAAGUACAAACUCCAGGGCCCUGUGGAAGCCAGGUUUUUGGUUCCUUAAAAUCAACAGACCUUGACAAAAAGCACCUAAAACUACCAUAAAAUCAGCAUGUAUAUAUAUCUGGAAAGAACCCGCAAGAUCAUCCAUUCUGAGCUCUUCAUUUUAAGAGGAUGCCUGAGGCCCAGAGACGUAGCCUCAACCUGGAAACACCAGAAGAAUGGAUAAACAAGCCAAAGCCUAUUCAUGGAAGAGAAUACAACGCAGCGAUCAAAAGACAGGAAAAUCAGAGAU